Molecule: ribosomal RNA, 497 nt
Filed under: uncultured bacterium
Lineage: Bacteria
Description: partial 16S ribosomal RNA
Rfam family: Bacterial small subunit ribosomal RNA
Source: RNAcentral
GACGAACGCUGGCGGCGUGCCUAAUACAUGCCAGUUGAGCGAUGAAGAUUGGUGCUUGCACCAAUUUGAAGAGCAGCGAACGGGUGAGUAACGCGUGGGGAAUCUGCCUUUGAGCGGGGGACAACAUUUGGAAACGAAUGCUAAUACCGCAUAAUAACUUUAAACAUAAGUUUUAAGUUUGAAGGAUGCAAUUGCAUCACUCAAAGAUGAUCCCGCGUUGUAUUAGCUAGUUGGUGAGGUAAAGGCUCACCAAGGCGAUGAUACAUAGCCGACCUGAGAGGGUGAUCGGCCACAUUGGGACUGAGACACGGCCCAAACUCCUACGGGAGGCAGCAGUAGGGAAUCUUCGGCAAUGGACGAAAGUCUGACCGAGCAACGCCGCGUGAGUGAAGAAGGUUUUCGGAUCGUAAAACUCUGUUGGUAGAGAAGAACGUUGGUGAGAGUGGAAAGCUCAUCAAGUGACGGUAACUACCCAGAAAGGGACGGCUAACUACGUG